UUCGUCCAGUGAUACGUCGAAUUUACCCCUGAUUUUAUUACGAAUGACAACAGUUUAAAGCGGUGAUUGAAAACGCGGAGGGUUAUUUUUGUCAUUUCACUGUCAAUUGAAAUUUUCAUGGCACACCAAACAAACCAUUGUCUGUUAUUUUUUUUUCCGCAGAUCCUUUUUUCCACCGAUCCGUUUUCCUCUCCUCUCUGAAAGGCAAUACAGAAUCCAGAUUAUUGAAAAGGAGUUGUUACGGAGUUGUUCAAUUAGUGAAUCAUGGAAUACCAGAAACUGUGUUCACGGGAUUGUUGAUGGUGUAUAAAUAUUUCAUGAGCAAGAUACGGACUAAAGGAUAUAUUUGCCACUCUUGCAGAAGUGGAACUUGAAUCCCAACCAGUUCUUCUCAAUGGAGCCCAGUAACAGUAUGAACUAUUACUGCAAACAUAGAUUGUGGUUUAAUUCAUGGAUCGAGAACGACAUUGAACAGUUCUUUGUUAUUGGAACAUCAGAAUAUCUUGCUACCAACAAAAGAUGGAUUCAACUUGAUCGAACAACAAAAGCUGCAUUCUAUUCGAUCAAGAUGUGUUGGCUUCUUCACAGUUUCUUUAAUGGCAAGCUCAUGUUGCAGCUAGGUGAGACCGUAAUGUUCAUUGCUGAGGCUAUUACAGCUAAGCUUCUUUUCAGGGCUUUGAUCAUAGAUGACUCCAAAGCUAAGCUUGCUCUUGGCCAGGAUAACAGCACAAUGAGCUAAGCCAUCCUUGGUCUUACUGCUUCUCAUUGUUCAUUGCUUUAUCAAUAUUACCAUGAUGACUCCAAAGCUAAGACUGCUCUUGGCCAGAAGAAUAGAGCAAUGAGCUAUCAGUGGUCAGGUGCAAAUAUCACUUAUCAGAAACAAAUUGCUCUUGACCUGAAAAUUAUUCGAAGAACUUUCCGAGGGUGUAACUCUUAACGAAACAAGGAGUACACCAUGAUCAGAUGCUAAGUUGUAUUUAACAAAUUUGGUGGAUUGGAAAUUUGUUACUAGCGUUAUCACAGUUGGUAGCUUUGGCAGACUGUCUACUGCAACAGUUGCAGUGAAUAUCAAUGCUUGGUCCUGUUUCGUAUGUAUGCUUCCAUUAUCGACUUCAUGUGUUGCUGAUUCUUAUCUUGGCAGAUGUUAUACCAUCUUAUUCUCCUCACUCAUCUAUGUAUUGAGGAUGCUCACUAUUAGGUUUCAAUUAGAUGUAAAUUAGGGCUUCAGCAAUUACUGCAGUCUAUCAUUGUGUUUUGGCAGGCGGCUUCUCCUUAGGAGACACCGGAGACCAUCCUCUGCCAAAAACAAAUUACAUCUUCAGCAAUGCAACUGAAUUGAACAUGACAAGCGAACAUACAUAGGUAUGGGGUCAUGAAUGGGAGGAACUUGAGAAGCAGUUGUAAGACAACUCAUAUUGUUUUCUAUUCAGUUGAUGUGAGCCAUAUGUAGGACAAAUCAUGUGGUUAAGCAAUAUCUUUUUCUGAAAUCCGUAGGACCAGAUGUUUAAUGGUAGUUAUUCAACUUCACUUUAUAAAAUAUCAAGUUAACAUCAAUAGCAGGUGUGAUUAGCUGUAUCAACACCCAGUUUAAGUUAGGAUGCAUGGAUACUGCCAACUGGGUUACUGUUGACAAUUACAUUAAUUGCUGAUCUGCAACGCCAUUGUAUAUGAAUAACCACAUCGCUUAAUGUAACACGUCUUUGCUCCACCUCAUAUGCACAAAUCAUGUGUUCUGGCUAAGGUUGGGGAAUUGGGUUCAAAGGUGUUGGAACCUCUUACAGCUAUAUAACUGCACUCUGACUGUUCUACCAGAAAAAGAGCCACAAUAAAUCAACAACAACGCCACCAGGCCCACCAUGAGAGUAAAGGAUUGGUUUUCGACCGGGUAGGUAAAGAUUCAUCAUUUCUAUACUACCAUCAUUGCAUGAUAUUGUGUUUUUGAGUGCAAAAGUCUAUAUUAUUGCGUUUCUCAAAUCAUAAGGGGUUGAGUUGAACGGAAAUCUUGGGGCUCUCACCCUUUUUUCCUCAGUUAAAUUGUACAUGUAUAGAAGAAGAGAAAACAACAUGUAUAGAAGAAGAAAAAACAACUUUCCCUGUAACUCAGGUUUCUUAAUUCAUCUCUUUUCACUCUC
RNA transcript from Papaver somniferum (opium poppy), 2132 nucleotides. RefSeq lists it as uncharacterized. The record is from RefSeq and is a predicted model, not a curated record. NCBI's taxonomy places the organism in Eukaryota, Viridiplantae, Streptophyta, Magnoliopsida, Ranunculales, Papaveraceae. The transcript has 9 exons.